Molecule: ribosomal RNA, 497 nt
Filed under: uncultured bacterium
Lineage: Bacteria
Description: partial 16S ribosomal RNA
Rfam family: Bacterial small subunit ribosomal RNA
Source: RNAcentral
GAUGAACGCUGGCGGCGUGCCUAAUACAUGCAAGUCGAGCGAACAGACGAGGAGCUUGCUCCUCUGACGUUAGCGGCGGACGGGUGAGUAACACGUGGAUAACCUACCUAUAAGACUGGGAUAACUUCGGGAAACCGGAGCUAAUACCGGAUAAUAUAUUGAACCGCAUGGUUCAAUAGUGAAAGACGGUGUUGCUGUCACUUAUAGAUGGAUCCGCGCCGCAUGAGCUAGUUGGUAAGGUAACGGCUUACCAAGGCAACGAUGCGUAGCCGACCUGAGAGGGUGAUCGGCCACACUGGAACUGAGACACGGUCCAGACUCCUACGGGAGGCAGCAGUAGGGAAUCUUCCGCAAUGGGCGAAAGCCUGACGGAGCAACGCCGCGUGAGUGAUGAAGGUCUUCGGAUCGUAAAACUCUGUUAUUAGGGAAGAACAAAUGUGUAAGUAACUAUGCACGUCUUGACGGUACCUAAUCAGAAAGCCACGGCUAACUACGUG